Molecule: long non-coding RNA, 780 nt
Organism: Lates calcarifer (barramundi perch)
Lineage: Eukaryota; Metazoa; Chordata; Actinopteri; Centropomidae
Exons: 2
Source: RefSeq, a predicted model, not a curated record
UUGCUUUUUCUUUCUCUCUUUUAAACCCUCUCUCCUUCUCUUGUGUUUUUUCUCUGUAGCCUAUUUUCCUUCUCUCUCAUUCACUCCUUCCCUCCUCUCUCCCUCCUCCCCGUCCUUUAUUCCCUCACACACCCAUCCAUCCGCUAUCUGUGCAGUAAAGUGGGACUUCAGACUUCAUAAUGUGGCUUGAGGUUUCAGCUUUCACAUAAUUCCACAGGCUGACCCAAAGUUUUUUUUUUUUCCUUUUCUGCUUCUCACUCACUCCAACCUGGACCAGAAGGGAGAGAGAGGGAGAGAGAGCUGCUGCAUUACUCCAGAUAUUGGGACGGAAAAUGAUCACAAGACUGAAUGUGUCUGCCCAAACCCAAGGAAAAUAAGCAGACGGCUUAUGUUUUUAUGCACUGAACCCCAACUGUCCCGACAAUCAGUCCUGUCUGUGACCGACGAACUGUAGCUUACAACAGCUUUGUUGUUUGAGAGGACAACACUGGAGCCAUUAUGGAGAGCCAUGUGUUUCUGAUUACCCAGGCACAGAUUAGAGGGAGGGGAGCAGCGGUUGCUGUCUGCUUGCCCCCCAGCUCCUCUGAUGUGGCCAGCAACUGGACACCCAUCAGUCCAACUCCAUCUGCCACUCUCGCCCCCUUCCCACCUCCAAGCCAAACGCUUUCCCACAUCCGCCAUGAUGUCACUACCAGGUCUAUCUACCACCUUAUCCUGUUCCUAUUUAAACAUGUAAACACAAAAAUCUUUGUCAUUAAAAUGAUUCCUACUUGACCUACA